Molecule: long non-coding RNA, 2188 nt
Filed under: Nicotiana tabacum (common tobacco)
Lineage: Eukaryota; Viridiplantae; Streptophyta; Magnoliopsida; Solanales; Solanaceae
Description: long non-coding RNA (NTAB_LNC011764)
Source: RNAcentral
GGCGGCGGCGAUAGCACUGGAAAAAUAAACACGAUUCACAAACAGGUAUCAUAUCGAUGUUACUGUAGUUCACUUGCUAUUUAUUAGCAUUGAUUAUGUUAUGGUAAUAAAAAUAGUGAUGAUUGGGAAGUAAAAAGUGAUAGCAUUCAUGAGUAAGCCAAUAAUUAGGGGAGACAAUCUUGAAUUUAGAUUAAUGGAGUUAAAGUAUAAAAUAUGGGGUUUAGAUCACUGCACUGGUAACAUAGUGAUUUAACUAAUGAUGUUGUAAUUAUUGAAUAGUAAUUUGUAAUAGCAUAAGAAUAAAGUAGUCAAUUUUGUUAGUAUGAGAAACCAUUACUUGGGAACUGCUGGCUUAUAUAUGAGACCAUUGUUUCCGCAUUUUUUCUACUGUUGAAAAUGCCACGUUUGAUAUUAGUCGUGUAUAGAUUUUUAUUAAUUGAAUUGAGGGAUGACCUUAAUUUUGACACGUCCUAAGAUUAUGGAAACUGUUCACCUAGACUAAUUAGGGUGUGUUAUUCAAUAUUUUGGAUAGAUUGAGGCCAUUGGAGGCCGUUUGAUUGGUGGACUAGACGUGGCAAAGUUGCAAAACUUCUCGAUAACGAGGUAAGUGAGACUUUAAGCUUUGAUGUUUGCUUUUCUAAAAUCCGUUUGGAAAAUAUAUUUUGUCUACCUGGUCCAUGUGUUGGGACAAGUGUGCGCUUGGCAGAAUCAGUGGUCAUUGACUAGCCGCAAAUAUAUAUUAUUUUGUACAAAGCUAAAGCAUUUAAUAAGUGAUUUGUGAUGCGGUGUGGCGUAGCCUCGUGCUAUGGCGUUGGGGCGUUAGAAAUUAUUUCUUCGCUGUCGUUAUAUAUUUGGGGCAUUGUGUAUGCCACCGUGAUAGGUUUGGGGCAUUGUGUAUGCCGCCGUAAUAUAUUUGGGGCAUUGUGUAUGCCGCCGUGAUAGAUUUGGGGCAUUGUUAUGCCGUCGUGGACUCGUCGUGGUGUUUGGUUAAUUUCCUACACUGCCAUUAAUGAUAAGUCCUUAGUGUAGAUUGUGUUGAGAUAUAUAUAGUAUUGUUGUUGAAUAAUUGUCUAGGCCUUAUAGAGUAAUUAUAUGGUGAAAGAAUUUUUGUGCAUAUUAUUUCUGUGCUCUUUGUGUGUUUGUAUUUUCUAACAUUUGUUCCAGAGGUAUUCAGAGUGGUGGGUCAAGGAUCUUACUGGGUUAUAUUUACGUAUAACUCACUCCUUACCUGCAUGUUUAUGCAGAUACUAUUGCUGAGGACGAGGCUAGUGGCUAACGAGUUCGUUGAGUGGAUUCUAUUGCUGAGGUGAGCCGCCGCAUUGUUCGUGGAGGCCGCUAUUUCAGCUCUACCUAUCUUAUGUUUAUUAUUUCUUUCGGGUUUGCAUGCCCGUCAGUCAAACUUCUAUUACUCUGUUAGAUGCUCUGUGGUCUUAGUAUGAAAUUUGGGUUAGAGAUUCAUUGUUUGAGUGCUCGUUAGAAUUUAUAAAUAGAUUAUGGCUUUAGUUGGAUAAUUACUUCGUAUUUAGUGAUAUUUAAUGCAUUUGGACUUGUACGUGUUUCUCUCAGUGCUUAUAUAAAAGGUUAAGUACAUGAAUUUGUUCGCCUGGCGAGUGGUGUUAGCUGGGUGCCAGUCAGGUCUUAGGGGUAGUUUGGGACGUGACAGUUAUAUUAUACUCCUUGGCUUCUCUGGCGAUAUGAACGUAUUUAAGUAAUUGUCAUUCUGUAAGACCAUAAUGAAAACGCAAUUUUUGUUUUUCUUCUAGACGAAUACGAUAUUGAGAUUUUUUCCCGGAAUGCGAUUGGUUUCUAAGAUCACUUCCGUUCCUAGGCUUUUUAUUAGUUAGUCCUGGUAAAGCCCCUAGGCGGCGUAUUUUUUUGAAACGAGGUCCUCGGUAACGCGACAUAAAGACUCCUUAUUCUUAUUUCUUAUUUAGUAUUUCGAAUUAAUUCUUAUUUCUAUUUAUUUUAUUUUUUAUUCAAUUUUAUUUUACCGAAUAAACCUAAGCUAAAACUAAACUGAACUACAUGAAGCGAAGUUUACUCAAUCCGUUUCAAUGUAUGUGAACCUAUUUGUCUGGGCACAAAGUGUAAGAAAAGAGAAAAAACUUUUGAACUUGUAGUAUAAAAUGAAGCACAUAUAUUUUGUGUAGCUAUAAAUCAUUACAUAAAGGUAAAUUGUUUUCAAAUA